Molecule: ribosomal RNA, 416 nt
Filed under: uncultured bacterium
Lineage: Bacteria
Description: bacterial SSU rRNA
Rfam family: Bacterial small subunit ribosomal RNA
Source: RNAcentral
UGGGGAAUUUUGGACAAUGGGGGAAACCCUGAUCCAGCCAUGCCGCGUGAGUGAAGAAGGCCUUCGGGUUGUAAACUCCUUUUACAGGGGACGAACACCCGCAAGGGUUUGACAGUACUCUGUGAAUAAGCCACGGCUAACUACGUGCCAGCAGCCGCGGUAAUACAGAGGUCCCAAGCGUUGUUCGGAUUCACUGGGCGUAAAGGGUGCGUAGGCGGUUAGGUAAGUCUGAUGUGAAAUCUCCGGGCUCAACCCGGAAACUGCAUUGGAUACUAUCUAGCUAGAGGUUUGGAGGGGGGACUGGAAUUCUCGGUGUAGCAGUGAAAUGCGUAGAUAUCGAGAGGAACACCAGUGGCGAAGGCGGGUCCCUGGACAACACCUGACGCUGAGGCACGAAAGUCGGGGGAGCAAACAGG